This is a non-coding RNA of Chrysemys picta bellii (western painted turtle), 357 nucleotides long. Lineage: Eukaryota; Metazoa; Chordata; Testudines; Emydidae. The record is from the annotation of a RefSeq genome assembly.
AUGAUCUCCCAGACUCAGCUUCUCUGGCUCCUUGUGCUCUGCAUUCAGGACUCCAGUGGGCAGAUCGUGCUGACUCAGACUCCAGAAUCCCUGGCAGUGUCUCCAGGAGACAGAGUCACCAUCAACUGCAAAGCCAGUUCCAGUGUUGGUGGUGCUAUAGCCUGGUACCAACAGAAAUCAGGACAAGCUCCUAAGCUCCUUAUCUAUGAUGCUUCCACCCGUGCCUCUGGGAUCCCAGACCGGUUCAGCGGCAGUGGGUCGGGCACUGACUACACAUUCACCAUCAGCAGGGUAGAAGCGGAUGAUGCUGGAGAUUAUUACUGUCAGCAUUAUUACGGCUACCCUUUCACACAGUGA